Molecule: long non-coding RNA, 1139 nt
Organism: Wyeomyia smithii (pitcher-plant mosquito)
Lineage: Eukaryota; Metazoa; Arthropoda; Insecta; Diptera; Culicidae
Exons: 3
Source: RefSeq, a predicted model, not a curated record
AUUGUAGCUGAUGUUUUUUUUUUAUAUUUUUUAUGAUGAUGCCAUGCCACUCGAGAUAGUGACGCGAUGAUUUCCGUUGCCAGACUCUCAUUAAAAUGCAAUCAACGGAGUGCAGUGAGCGGCUCCCCAUUCGAGGUGAAACAAAUUUGAAGUUUUGCUGCGUGCCAGUGGAAAGGAGUUGACACGGAAUUUUGAGGGUCCUGUUACUUCAUUGUGAGUGUGAAAAGUAAAAUGAUGCGCGCUAUUUUGGAAACAUUAGCGGAAUUUGGUAACGAAGCGGUCUCCAUCAACACUUUGUAUGCGGAAGUUCGCAACACUAGGACUGUUCGUAGAAUUGAACCAGGAAACCGGUUCAGUGAGUUCCUGGAUAUUCUUCGCGAAGCGGAGCGGGCAAAUUUGAUAUGUAUGCAAGACUACGGGAGGGUUCGACUGAAUAACUACGGAUUAGCAGGAAUAAUUGCACAAAUUGAAUUUUUGCAAUACCACCCAAGAUCAAGCAGAUGGCGCAGAAGGUAUCGGGGCUUACCGUUCCGGCGUAUCCGUUGGCUUUCAUAUAGGAACAGACCCAGACCUGCUGGUGGACGCAAUAGUAUUGGGUGAUGAAUUGGUGAUAAGAAACAUUUUGAAUAUGUUGUAUUUUAUAAACAAAACUUGUUUCAAGAGUUUAGUUCGGAGAUCAUAGUUUGAACAUUUUUGUGGUCAAAACAAUAUAUCCGUGCACAGGAGAUCUUUUGCGAAGAGGCUUUAAACAAUUUCAACUUUUUGAUAGUUUCUAUACAGUUUGUCAUGGUAGUCUUUCGAUCUGGAGAUGGACCAUAGAAUAAUAAUAAACCGUUGUGAACGUAUUUACAUGCACUGCACUCAACCUGAACUUGAUCGACAUCAGUCCUAACGAACUUCACAUAGUUUUGAUUGAUUUGAAAUAAAAUAGUAGCACUUUUUUAUUACUGACUAAAUUAUUAAAAAAUAAUUUCAGCACGACGAAGCUUUUCCGUCAAACGCGUUCGGUGGGGAGCGCCACCAGAGCCAAUAAUUUGGAGUGAAAAAUAAGUUCAGUAGAAAUUAGCAAAGUGUUUUUUUCUAAAAAUUGGAGCGUUCGUGUGAAUCUAUUCUAACAAAUAACAAGUUCGAAUGUGAAA